AUGUCAGAUUUCCAUCGUCAGUAUUACACCCAAGUUAAGUGGAAAAGAUGCUCACCCUUCAUGAAUAUUGAAACAAUUAGCAGCGAUGAUGUGCUACCCAUCCAGUUCAAUCUGUUCAUGCCACACCAAGAUCCCAAACUCUCGAAAAAUGAAUUAAGUAGAGUCCUUACGCUCCGCCGCGACGAGUUGCCAUCGAUGCUUUGUAAUUGUGUUGGUGCCACUGGUGGUUUGAAGAGAACAGGCUACCGUGUUAAACACUUGUUUAAAGCAUCUAUGUCUUGUCAAGCCUAUUCACAGAUGAAGAAGUACCUUUCAGGGUGUAGGAAGCUUAAAUUUGCCCAGAACAUGAUCAUGAAGGUUCUUGAAAGCCUUGUGCCUCUUCCACAAGAGAAGCAUCGAGACACUGUUGCCAAAAUAUUCACUGUGCUUGCUACUAUAGCUGAAGACGCUUUUCUUAUCCAAGUGAACAUAUAUGUCGUGAAUCGUAAUCCUAACCCUAAUCCUGCAAGCAUGUCAGCCAUGGUGAACGAGUUGGAGAAAGUGAGACUUAAUAGAUCAUGUGGUAUUUGCAUGGAGGAAUUUGACAAAGGUGUUAUGGCUAUUCGUUUGCCCUGCUUUCACAUUUUUCAUGGAAAUUGCAUUUUCCGGUGGCUGCAGAAGGAUCACAAGUGUCCUUUGUGCCGACAUCCAAUGCCUCACGAUGAUGCAGAUCAUGCCGACGACACUUCUUCUUCGGUGACCAAAUACCAGUAUUCUUAUUAUACUCGAAUUGAAUCAAAAAUAUGCACACCGGCACCAUCAUCCACGCUUGAGAUCCAAUUCAAUUUCUACAAGUCAAACCAAUCUGGUUCAUUGCUGAAGAAUGGUGAAGUUCUACGCCACAAAACUGAGCCUGAUGCUGAACAAAUCCACCUCAAAACUGAGCCACGAUUACUUACAAUUCCUAGUCAUUGCGAGCUGCAACCAACUAUGAUCACCCAAGUUCUUAGAAGCCUGGAUGUUCCGCAAAAUGAGCAGCCACCCAUUGUUGCCAAAAUAUUUGAGACAGUUGCUGCUGAUGGUAAUUGUGCUUUUAUUAAUGCGGACAUCUACCAUGAGGCAUUGAAAUUGUUCGAUCGUUGGGCCUUUUCUCGAAAGCUUUUCAGGAUUAGACGUAUUGGAAUUGAUCUUCCCAUUACAGACGAACAUGAUGCUAGGAUUGCGAGGGAAUUAGACGAGGAAUCAUUUAGCAAGCCUAGGCCUAAGCCUGCUACUAAAUCAGCCAUUGAGGGGUUGGAGAGAGUGAGAGUUGACGCGUCCUGUGUUGAGGCAGCAGAGAGUAGUAGUGGAUGCUGCAGCACCAAGUCUUCUUCAACUGUUUCGCUUCGGCCUCCAAAGCAGCUUUUGAUUGACUUGCCUUGCGAAGCUGGAGAGUUCCCGGUGCUGCUCCUCCUCCAUGGUUUUCUUCUCUCCAACUCUUUCUACUCUCAGCUUAUCCAACACAUCGCCUCUCAUGGCUUCAUCAUCAUUGCCCCUCAGUUGUAUACAAUAGCUGGAUCAGAUACAAGUGAUGAGAUCAAGUCCACAGCUGCAAUAACAAACUGGUUAUCAGAAGGACUUCAAUCCUUGCUUCCACCCCAUGUUCAUGCAAAUCUAAACAAGCUAGCACUCGCUGGGCACAACCGAGGAGGCAAAGUUUCUUUUGCACUAGCAUUAGGGAAAGAAGGCAUCACUACUAGCUUGAAAUUUUCAGCCUUAAUAGGGCAUAGACCCAGUUGAUGGAAUGGACAAGGGAAAACAGACCCCUCCACCAGUCUAACCUAUGCCCCUCAUUCUUUCGAUCUCGACUACAUGACAGUAAUGGUGAUUGGUACUGGUUUGGGUGAAGUGAAGAGAAACACUCUAUUCCCUGCUUGUGCUCUAAAGGGUGUUAACCAUGAGGACUUCUUCCAUGAAUGCCGAAAACCGGCCUGUUACUUUGUGGCCAAGGACUAUUGGCAUGUUGAUAUGCUUGAUGAUGAGACAGAGGGGGUUAGGGGGAAGGCUACAUAUUGUUUGUGCUAAAAUGGCAAGUCUAGGGAACCCAUGAGAAAAUUUGUUGCAGGAGUUGUGGUUGCUUUCAUCAAAGCCUAUUUGGGUGGGGAUAGGAGUGAACAGGAAAGAUAUAAGCGUGUAAUUAAAGCUUGA
Fragaria vesca subsp. vesca is the source of this 2166-nucleotide RNA transcript. RefSeq lists it as uncharacterized. The transcript has 4 exons. NCBI's taxonomy places the organism in Eukaryota, Viridiplantae, Streptophyta, Magnoliopsida, Rosales, Rosaceae. The record is from RefSeq and is a predicted model, not a curated record.